UGCCAGCAGCCGCGGUAAUACGGAGGGUGCAAGCAUUAAUCGGAUUUAUUGGGCGUAAAGAGCGCGUAGGCGGGAAAGAAAGUCAGAUGUGAAAUACCGGAGCUCAACUCCGGAACGGCAUUUGAAACUUCUUUUCUAGAGGAUAGGCGGAGAAAGUGGAAUUCCACGUGUAGCGGUGAAAUGCGUAGAUAUGUGGAAGAACACCAGUGGCGAAGGCGACUUUCUAGCUUAUUCCUGACGCUGAGGCGCGAAAGCAAGGGGAGCGAACAGGAUUAGAUA
RNAcentral lists this ribosomal RNA (279 nucleotides) under uncultured bacterium. Its description in RNAcentral is "partial 16S ribosomal RNA". It matches the Rfam family "Bacterial small subunit ribosomal RNA", at positions 506 to 784 of the family's 1533-position model. The record is from RNAcentral.